Molecule: ribosomal RNA, 439 nt
Filed under: uncultured bacterium
Lineage: Bacteria
Description: partial 16S ribosomal RNA
Rfam family: Bacterial small subunit ribosomal RNA
Source: RNAcentral
CUACGGGGUGCUCCAGUGGGGAAUAUUGCACAAUGGAGGAAACUCUGAUGCAGCAACGCCGCGUGGAGGAUGACACUUUUCGGAGCGUAAACUCCUUUUAUAUAGGAAGAAGAUGACGGUACUAUAUGAAUAAGCGCCGGCUAACUCCGUGCCAGCAGCCGCGGUAAUACGGAGGGCGCAAGCGUUACUCGGAAUCACUGGGCGUAAAGAGCGUGUAGGCGGAUUAAAAAGUCAGAAGUGAAAUCCUAUAGCUUAACUAUAGAACUGCUUCUGAAACUCUUAAUCUAGAAUAUGGGAGAGGUAGAUGGAAUUUCUGGUGUAGGGGUAAAAUCCGUAGAGAUCAGAAGGAAUACCGAUUGCGAAGGCGAUCUACUAGAACAUUAUUGACGCUGAGACGCGAAAGCGUGGGGAGCAAACAGGAUUAGAUACCCCAGUAGUC